This 507-nucleotide ribosomal RNA is filed under the name Yarrowia lipolytica. RNAcentral describes it as "eukaryotic LSU rRNA". It matches the Rfam family "Eukaryotic large subunit ribosomal RNA", at positions 67 to 655 of the family's 3401-position model. The record is from RNAcentral. Lineage: Eukaryota; Fungi; Ascomycota; Dipodascomycetes; Dipodascales.
UUCAGGGUAUGCUCAGUACGGCGAAGUGAAGCGGCAAAGCUUCCAAAUUUGAAACCUCGGGAUUGUAAUUUGAAAGAUUUGGCAUUGGAGAAAGCUAACCCAAGUUGCUUGGAAUAGUACGUCAUAGAGGGUGACAACCCCGUCUGGCUAACCGUUCUCCAUGUAUUGCCUUAUCAAAGAGUCGAGUUGUUUGGGAAUGCAGCUCAAAGUGGGUGGUAAACUCCAUCUAAAGCUAAAUACUGGUGAGAGACCGAUAGCGAACAAGUACUGUGAAGGAAAGGUGAAAAGAACUUUGAAAAGAGAGUGAAAUAGUAUGUGAAAUUGUUGAUAGGGAAGGAAAUGAGUGGAGAGUGGCCGAGGUUUCAGCCGCCCCUCGUGGGCGGUGUACUGCCGACGCCGAGUCAUCGAUAGCGAGACGAGGGUUACAAAUGGGAGCGCCUUUCGGGCGUUCUCCCCUAACCCUCCACACUGCCACCGACGACAUAAUCCACCCAUUUCACCCGUCUU